CCUACGGGAGGCAGCAGUGAGGAAUAUUGGUCAAUGGGCGCGAGCCUGAACCAGCCAAGUAGCGUGAAGGAUGACUGCCCUACGGGUUGUAAACUUCUUUUAUAAAGGAAUAAAGUGAGGCACGUGUGCCUUUUUGUAUGUAUUUUAUGAUUAAGGAUCGGCUAACUCCGUGUAAGGAGCCGCGGUAAUACGGAGGGUCCGAGCGUUAGCCGGAUUUAUUGGGUUUAAAGGGAGCGUAGAUGGGUUGUUAAGUCAGUUGUGAAAGUUUGCGGCUCAACCGUAAGAUUGCAAUUGAUACUGGCAGCCUUGAGUACAGGUGAGGUAGGCGGAAUUCGUGGUGUAGCGGUGAAAUGCUUAGAUAUCACGAAGAACUCCGAUUGCGAAGGCAGCCUACUAACCUGCCACUGACAUUGAGGCUCGAAAGUGUGGGUAUCAAACAGGAUUAGAUACCCUUGUAGUC
Molecule: ribosomal RNA, 460 nt
Filed under: uncultured bacterium
Lineage: Bacteria
Description: partial 16S ribosomal RNA
Rfam family: Bacterial small subunit ribosomal RNA
Source: RNAcentral